Molecule: non-coding RNA, 73 nt
Organism: Stegodyphus mimosarum
Lineage: Eukaryota; Metazoa; Arthropoda; Arachnida; Araneae; Eresidae
Source: Rfam
GUCUUCGUGGUGUAGUAGUCAGCACACUUGGCGAGUAUUCGAGAGAUCCGUGGUUCGAGUCCCGGCGAAGGCA